CUAGGAAUCUGCCUGGUAGUGGGGGACAACGUUUCGAAAGGAACGCUAAUACCGCAUACGUCCUACGGGAGAAAGCAGGGGACCUUCGGGCCUUGCGCUAUCAGAUGAGCCUAGGUCGGAUUACCUAGUUGGUGAGGUAAUGGCUCACCAAGGCGACGAUCCGUAACUGGUCUGAGAGGAUGAUCAGUCACACUGGAACUGAGACACGGUCCAGACUCCUACGGGAGGCAGCAGUGGGGAAUAUUGGACAAUGGGCGAAAGCCUGAUCCAGCCAUGCCGCGUGUGUGAAGAAGGUCUUCGGAUUGUAAAGCACUUUAAGUUGGGAGGAAGGGCAGUAAAUUAAUACUUUGCUGUUUUGACGUUACCGACAGAAUAAGCACCGGCUAACUCUGUGCCAGCAGCCGCGGUAAUACAGAGGGUGCAAGCGUUAAUCGGAAUUACUGGGCGUAAAGCGCGCGUAGGUGGUUCGUUAAGUUGGAUGUGAAAUCCCCGGGCUCAACCUGGGAACUGCAUCCAAAACUGGCGAGCUAGAGUAUGGUAGAGGGUGGUGGAAUUUCCUGUGUAGCGGUGAAAUGCGUAGAUAUAGGAAGGAACACCAGUGGCGAAGGCGACCACCUGGACUGAUACUGACACUGAGGUGCGAAAGC
Molecule: ribosomal RNA, 647 nt
Filed under: Pseudomonas sp.
Lineage: Bacteria; Pseudomonadati; Pseudomonadota; Gammaproteobacteria; Pseudomonadales; Pseudomonadaceae
Description: bacterial SSU rRNA
Rfam family: Bacterial small subunit ribosomal RNA
Source: RNAcentral